Molecule: long non-coding RNA, 1216 nt
Organism: Oncorhynchus tshawytscha (Chinook salmon)
Lineage: Eukaryota; Metazoa; Chordata; Actinopteri; Salmoniformes; Salmonidae
Exons: 2
Source: RefSeq, a predicted model, not a curated record
AACAACUGUUCAGAGACAAAAUAUUUUUAGGACAAAUUCAUAUUUCACACUAGAUGUCGACCAAUUAAUCGGAAUGGAUGAUUAAUUAGGGCUGAUUCCAAGUUUUUAUAACAAUUGGUAAUCGCCAUUGUUGGACACCAUCAUGGCCGAUUACAUUGCACUCCACGAGGAGACUGCGUGGCAGGCUGACUACCAGUGCAGCAAGGAGCCAUGGUAGUGCAGUCCCAGAGUCAGCUUCUUCACCAUCAAGUUGUUCUUGCCUUUCGAGGUGAAGUGUAGAGUGGCGAUCUCCCCCUUCCUGAGGUACACUGUCUGGUGGAGGAGAGAAUCCCUACAGUCCUCUUCUCUGGCCUGCAGGCUGAAGCUGGCCAGCUCCCGACUCCCCUCCCUCAGCUCCAGGGUCCCGUUGCCUAACUGUCCAUCCAGACCCUCACUGCACACCUCCAUGUACAGCAUGUAAGGACCAGUACACCUGAUCUGAAUCCCAGUAUCGCCGCUGAGAUUCAUUGUAUGGUUAACGUACCUCUUAAAACUGACUGGCGUAUUGUCUGGGAUGUCUGCAGAGACUGGGAGGGGAGGAAAUGAGGGUGGAUAGGGAUAACCUCCUGCAUCACUUUCAUGUUAUAACAUAUUCUUCACCUGCUACAUUUCAGUUGAAUGCAUUGUUGUACAACUGACUUAGGUAUCCCCCUUUCCUAGCCUUAUAAUUUAUUAUUACACCGUUGUAACACCUACUGUUAAAAAUGUGUGAAUAACAGGAUGUUUGUUAUGAGGCCAAGUGUAACGAGAUAGAGUAUUACGAACAGGGGAUAACUCACCUGUAACAGGGUCAAAGUGGAUGUAGAUCUCACUCUCCUCCGGCCUCUCAGACACCUGGCACAGCAGAACACACACCGUCAGAGAACACACAACACACGCAUGUUUAUGGUCUGUGGUCUGUGGUUGUCCGUCCUGCUUUCCUGUUAUUAAUAUGAGUGAGUCAGUGUGUCAGUAAGGGACAUCCUCUAUGUCUCCCUGAUAACCCGUCAGAAAGGUUACAGAGCACUGGGGAGUCCUGUGGUCUGUAUGGGGGCUGCCCCUACACACUGAUCUAAGGUCAGCUUAUGGUUAGGAUGGGGAUGGGUAAGACGAUCCUAGAUCUGAGCGUAUUCAAGUGCCAAUGCAUUUGUUAAAUUUAAACAUUUGUUACAUUUAAAUAAAGGUUAUUAUUAUUAUA